RNAcentral lists this ribosomal RNA (1114 nucleotides) under Bacteroidales bacterium. Its description in RNAcentral is "partial 23S ribosomal RNA". It matches the Rfam family "Bacterial large subunit ribosomal RNA", at positions 1 to 1118 of the family's 2925-position model. The record is from RNAcentral. Lineage: Bacteria; Pseudomonadati; Bacteroidota; Bacteroidia; Bacteroidales.
AGAGAAGUUAGAGAAGAGUACAUAGGGGGAUGCCUAGUGGCUUUCAGAGGCGAGGAAGGACGUAACAAGUUGCGAAAAGCUGCGGGGAUUGGCAAAUACGAGUUGAUCCGCAGAUAUCCGAAUGGGGGAACCCGGUAGGUUGAAGACCUAUCACCACAGAAUUGUGGGGCGAACGCAGUGAACUGAAACAUCUAAGUAGCUGCAGGAGAAGAAAUCAAGAGAGAUUGCGUGAGUAGUGGUGAGCGAAAGCGUAAGAGCCUAAACUAUUGAUGUUACGGCAUUGAUAGGGUUGAAGGACUCCGGGAUAAAGAAGUAUAUGAUAGUGGAAUGGUUUGGGAAGGCUAACCGAAGAGGGUGAAAGUCCCGUACACGAAAUUGUAUAUAAUUUUAGGAGAAUCCUGAGUAGGGCGGGACCGGAGGAAUCCUGUCUGAAUCUACCAGCACCAUCUGGUAAGGCUAAAUACUACUGAAAGACCGAUAGUGGACGAGUACUGUGAAGGAAAGGUGAAAAGAACCGUGAGCAACGGAGUGAAAGAGAAUCUGAAACCAUGUACUUACAAGCGGUCGGAGCCUCAUUAGGGGGUGACGGCGUGCCUAUUGAAUAAUGAGCCUACGAGUUACUGUUACUGGCGAGGUUAAGUAAUUAAGUUACGGAGCCGGAGCGAAAGCGAGUCUGAAUAGGGCGAGAAUAGUCAGUAGGGGUAGACGCGAAACUUAGUGAUCUACCUUUGGGCAGGUUGAAGUUCCGGUAACGCGGAAUGGAGGACCGAACUGGUAAACGUUGAAAAGUUUUCGGAUGACCUGAAGGUAGGAGUGAAAGGCCAAUCAAACUGAGAGAUAGCUCGUACUCCCCGAAAAGCUUUUAGGAGCUACCUGGAUAGAUAGUUUGCAGAGGUAGAGCUACUGAUAGGAUGCGGGGGUGUCAAAGCCUGCCAAUUCCUGACAAACUGCGAAUACUGCAAAGCGAAUAUCUGGAGAAAGGCUGCGGGCGCUAACAUCCGUAGCCGAGAGGGGAAUAACCCAGACCAACAGCUAAGGUCCCAGAAUGUAUGCUAAGUUGGAUUAACGAAGUCGGUCUGCAAAGACAGCCAGGAUGUUGGCUUGGAAACAGCCA